RNAcentral lists this long non-coding RNA (334 nucleotides) under Panax ginseng (ginseng). RNAcentral describes it as "long non-coding RNA (PGIN_LNC000861)". The record is from RNAcentral. Lineage: Eukaryota; Viridiplantae; Streptophyta; Magnoliopsida; Apiales; Araliaceae.
AGUAGAACAAUUACCUCUAAAGGAUACCCGAUGGCUAUAACUUCGUCUACACAAUGAGUAUCUGUCAAGGAUUGAUUGGGUCCUUCAAAGAAUGUUCAUGCUGGUACUGCUUCCAAGCAGGUUUCUGAGGGUUCUCGUUCGAGAGCCCAGGAUGAUGCUGGAAGAAGAUUGAUUUUUGAUGCCCAGAGAAUACCUGACCAUGGUAGGAAAAGGGUAGAAGGUAUACUGCUUAGAAUCUUAUACCGAAGUGGUCAGACUGACAGACCGAUCAAGUUAGAAAGAAGUCUACACUUUAAAGACAUGUCUCGAGGCCUUCCUUGGGAUCGAAGCAGAC